CCUGGCCCCGCCGCCGUCAUCCCGCAUCGAGUGUGCUGAGCUGAGGCGUCCGCGCGGCUGUUUCACACGCAGGGCUCUGGUCAGACGGGCCCUGGGCAAGGCCUCUGCCCUCAGCCUCCUGUCAACAGCUUCAAGUAGACUCAGCACCAAGGAGCAGAAAGGUGGAUUUCUGCAUCCUUUGGCUCAGCUGAGGGCACCAUGGUUGAGGAAGCCUUAGACUCCAG
RNAcentral lists this long non-coding RNA (224 nucleotides) under Capra hircus (goat). RNAcentral describes it as "lncRNA (ENSCHIG00000004592.1)". The record is from RNAcentral. Lineage: Eukaryota; Metazoa; Chordata; Mammalia; Artiodactyla; Bovidae.